AAUAGAAUAUACAAUGUUUAAUUAAAUGAAAGCUUACAUUAUUUUCACUCGAUGCUUGAUGGCAAUUUUAAGGAAAACUCAGGAACCACCAAGAAAAACUUUCUCCUUUUUAAAUAAAAUGUAUUCUCUGUGAUAUCUUCACUCAAACCAGUAUAAACUGAGCAUAGCGUUAGUUCAACCAGUCACACCGUCAAUCAACCAACCGCCCAUACUGGCCCCCUAUUGGCCAACGCAUACACGAUGCACUACUUAAACCGUGACCACAGCCUCAUACCUCCUCAGCAGACAUCUCACAACCACCUCCUCCAGGUCAGUAUAUAUCCAACCAUUAACAUCUGCUCCAGGGGUUUCUGCUGACCGCUCUCCUUGCUUUAGCUGUUAGCUAGAGCUCAGGGAAGGUCAGUGAGGAGUGUGUUCCCAGCCUCCGACAUAAUCACGCGGAAAGGACAAGGAGGUCCUGGAACAGACCCAUACCGCCAAUACAUUAUUAUUGUAAAUAAUGUAUUUUGACUAAAGUCGUCCUGACUGAACUCUUCACAUAUUACAUAUUGGCAAAUAUAUCACUAUGUUCUUGAUAUGGUAUUGAAUAACCUAUAUUUAGUGGAUCAUGUGAAAUUAUGUCAAACAUUGUGUUCUAUGACUUGAUAUCUACGACAUUAAUUUUAUGAACUUCACAAUCGAAAAUUUCAUGUUUUCAGGGUAGGUCAACAAAAAGGUCCGUUUCAUAAAGUGCAUCCCAAGAUUUAUACUGUUACCAGUUGGUUUCAUAUUCUAGAGAUCCAAAGAUUUACAGUAAUUCCAUUAUUAUUGAGUUGUGUGUGGGGGGGCAUACAUAAAAAUGUCUUCCAUUUCAGGGGGAAAAUUUCAAUUUCCAAGUAAUGAUGCAGUAACAGUACGUAGUUUAAACAAACCUCAUGUUGGUUAUUUUAAGUCUCAUCACUAACGUGUUUUUACUGGUGGUUCUCCUGCUACAAUAGCAACAGUGGAGAUACACAACAAAAGGAACACAUCAGGAGCUACACAACAACCUGUCACUGGUUCACACACUUUAGUCACAAAACACAUCUUUCAGGAGGGGGCGGAGCUUCACUGGAGUAAACCAGGAAAGAAUUGUUACAGAAAGGACAGUGGAGCAGUACCAAAGUCCAAACUCUAAAAGUGUGUUAGCAUUUAACGCGACUUCAGCGACUAUAGUCAUUUAAAUCGGCCGUGAUGAGUCGCUUGAACAUAGUCGCACUUUUUGCUGCUUCAUCCACCCCAGUGACGUGACGACCACGGAAGUGCCGUAGGGAGAAACUCGUCACUGAUUGGAUGUUGUCACACGUCGUACACGUCGCAUCACUUGAAACAACUUCAAUGUGAUUUCAGUGACUGUGAUGACGAGAUUUCAUUCUAAAUCAAUGUAAAUAACAUCAAGCGACGCGACUCACGCGAUCUGAGUCGCUGAAAGUCGCUUAAAAUGAACUUUUCCAACGAGGUUCUACUUCUCCAGUCGUGAUGUCACUGGGGUAAAUGAAGCGUGACUAUGUUUAAGUGACUCAUUAAGGGUGAUUUGAAUAAGUACAGUCACUGAAGUGGUGUUGGGUGUAAACGCACCAUAAUAAAUAUAAAAUACAUACAAUUUACA
Molecule: long non-coding RNA, 1627 nt
Filed under: Gouania willdenowi (blunt-snouted clingfish)
Lineage: Eukaryota; Metazoa; Chordata; Actinopteri; Blenniiformes; Gobiesocidae
Description: lncRNA (ENSGWIG00000010564.1)
Source: RNAcentral